RNAcentral lists this long non-coding RNA (178 nucleotides) under Monodelphis domestica (gray short-tailed opossum). Its description in RNAcentral is "lncRNA (ENSMODG00000047818.1)". The record is from RNAcentral. Lineage: Eukaryota; Metazoa; Chordata; Mammalia; Didelphimorphia; Didelphidae.
AUGAUAACCAAUAAUAAAGAAAACACAGAGCUAUUCAAUAUUAAUUUUGCUUCUGUUUUCUCUGCCAGGGAGACAGAUCUUAGGACUGGAAAGGACAGAAUGAAGAUCACUAGGAAAAUGUGUCAACUAAAAAGGAAAAAAAAAACUCUUUGUAACAAGUAUGCAUGAGAAACUCUCC